AUUUAAUAUUUAAAUUAUACUUAUUCAAGAAACAUUUUACUAUCACAUCUCACUCUCCACGUUCAAAUGGGGAAUUCGUCUCUGACUUUUAAACCACAAUCUCAAGCUCCAUCGCCGCCGUGUCUGAGACUCCAACGAAAGUUGCCGCCGGCGAGCCACGGCCAUAGCUUCUGUCUUGACCCCGAUCUCCAUCUCUCAGCCCCUAAACUCCAUCCUCUCACCCAAAGAAACCCAAGCUCCCCAAAUCCACACCGCCUCUUCGCGAUUUCCGGCAACCACGGCAGCUACCCUAUCGCCGCCGCCCCUGAACUCUGGUGAAAGAUGCCGCCGGCGAGCCAACCAGAAAUCGAUCUGCCAUCUCCCUUCCCCCACAUGCACCACAAAUCGAAUAUUUUUUGCUUCCUUUCGGCUACAAUUGCAAGUUCCUUCUCCCCAUAUCGUCGAUCCUGCUGAAAAGUACAUAUCUUUGAUAAUUCCAGCAUACAACGAAGAGCACAAACUUCCAGGGGCUCUCGAUGAAACCUUGAAGUAAUCUAAAUUAUAUAAUCUAAUCAUUUGCUUUUCUGAAUUUGUAUACAUUGAUGAUAUGAUCUGGAUGUUUAUUUAUUUGAAUCAAACUUCCACAUUUUUAUUUCACUAAGUGAUAGUAUUAUGAUAGUAAAGGUUUAAUACCCUCGCUCAUUUUGGGAUUA
Long non-coding RNA from Salvia miltiorrhiza (redroot sage), 692 nucleotides. RefSeq lists it as uncharacterized. The transcript is spliced from 3 exons. The record is from RefSeq and is a predicted model, not a curated record. Lineage: Eukaryota; Viridiplantae; Streptophyta; Magnoliopsida; Lamiales; Lamiaceae.